GGCCCACCCACCUCCUGCCCCCACCCCCGGACCCUUUUCUUCCUCUGCAGCCCCCAUCCCUCCUCCCAGCGCCCAACCACCUGAGGAGGGUGUCCCUGGCGCUGAGGCCCCCUCCGUGCGCCCCACGCGCCUCUGGACUUGGUGUCCGUGCACCAGGCUGAAGCCCCCUUCCCCCGGGGCAGAACGCACCCGUGGAUCCUCUGAAUUCUUCCCAAUUUGAGUCAACAGCCUCUCCAGACCUGGCCAAGGCGCAACCUCCUUGGCCUCCUGCCGCAGCCUCACAUUGCUCCACCCCGACUCCAGAACAGCCAAGGGACCCCUCUGGUGCUUGGGUCCCACGGGCCACCCUCUUCGUCCUCCUGGUUUCCUGGUUUCCACUGGCUCUGCCCACACCUCCCAGCGCACCCAGCCUCCUCCUGAGCUUCUCGUGGUAUCCCGCGCCCUCUCUGUGCUGCGUUGAGGUGGGGAGAACCAGCCACAGGGUGCAGGACCGGGACGUGGAGCUGAGACCCCGCGGGGGAGCAGGCGGGGAAGGAGUGUCUCAGGAAGAAGGAGUGGCUGGAGGCAGGGGCCUGCGCAGGGUGGCCAGACCCACGGAGGGGGCAGCGUCCCGGUGUCAAGGCACCCACUGUCUGGUACCCGCCACAGAGUCCCGCUGUUGUAGGAUGGUGGCUUGGGAGGAGGGGCAGUGGCUGAGCCUGGAAGGUGGUCGCGCUAGUAAAGUGUGGGGGUCCUUUGGUUUUUUUAAACAGCUUCAUUGAAAUAAAACUCACAUGAUCAUACAAUUUACCCCUUUAAUUCAGGGGCUUCUAGUGUCUUCAGAGUUGUCCAGCCAUCUUCACCGUCUACCUCUGGAACCUUCCGGUCAUCCCCCAGAGGGACCCUGUUCCCAUUAGCAAUCACUCCUCUCUUUCCUCCCCUCCCCCCGCCACCACUAAUCUACUUUCUGUCUCCAUGGAUUUGCCAAUUUUGGACAUUUCACACAAAUGGCAUCAGACAAUAUGUGACCUCCGCGUCUGCCUUCGUUCACUUAGCAUAAUGGUUUUAAGGUCCAUCCAUGAAGUGGCAGGAACCAGUACUGGGCCUUUUCGCGGCCGGAUAAUAGUCCAGUGAGUGGACUUACCGUCCUUUGUCUGCCGGCUCGUCUAUCAGCGGUCAUUUGGGUCGCUCCCACUUCUUGGCUAUGGUGACCAGCGCUGCUGUAAACAUUCGCAUCCGAGUUUUUGUGUAUGCAUGCCUGCGAGUGAGAUUGCCAGGUAAUCUAGUCGCCCAGUCCACCUUCUGGUAAACAGAUGGACAGUUUUCUACAGUGUUCAUGCAUUUAAACUUCUUUUUACUUAAAAAAAAUUUUUUUUAGUUGUAGAUGGACACAAUACCUUAAUUUUAUUUAUUUAUUUUCAUGUGGUACUGAGGAUCGAACCCAGGGCCUCACCCGUGCUAGGCAAGCGCUCUACCGCUGAGCCCCAGCCCCAGCCCCCCUUUAAAUUUCUCACAAGCAAUGUGCGGAUAUUCCCAUUUCUCCACAUCCUCCCCAGCACUUGUUACUGCCUGUCUUUUUAUUAGAACCCUCUCAGUGGAGAGAUGUAAACUGGCAUUUCCUUGUGGUUUUUGUCUAAUGGCUCGUGAUGUUGGGUGUCUUUUCAUGUAUUUAUUGACCAUUUGUAUAUUUAAAAAUUAUAUUUUUAGUUGUAGAUGGACAUGGCAUUUUUAUUGUAUUUAUUUUAUUUUUAUGUGGUGCUGAGGAUCAAGCCCAGUGCCUCACACAUGCGAGGCAAGCACUCUGCCACUGAGCUACAACCCAAGACUUAUACGUCUUCUUUGGAGAAGAAAAAUCUUU
Long non-coding RNA from Ictidomys tridecemlineatus (thirteen-lined ground squirrel), 1837 nucleotides. NCBI's taxonomy places the organism in Eukaryota, Metazoa, Chordata, Mammalia, Rodentia, Sciuridae. The record is from Ensembl.